GAACGCUGGCGGCGUAGCUUAACACAUAGCAAGUCGAACGAGUCAUCAUUUUUGUAAGCAAUUAGGCUUGCUAAGAGUGGAAUGUUGAUGACGUUAGUGGCGGACGGGUGAGUAACGCGUGGGUAACCUGCCAUAUACAGGGGGAUAACACUUAGAAAUAGGUGCUAAUACCGCAUAAGCGCACAGUAUUGCAUGAGACAGUGUGAAAAACUACGGUGGUAUAUGAUGGACCCGCGUCUGAUUAGCUGGUUGGUGAGGUAACGGCCCGACCCAAGGCGACGAUCAGUAGCCGGCCUGAGAGGGUGGACGGCCACAUUGGGACUGAGACACGGCCCAAACUCCUACGGGAGGCAGCAGUGGGGAAUAUUGGACAAUGGGGGAAACCCUGAUCCAGCGACGCCGCGUGAGUGAAGAAGUAUUUCGGUAUGUAAAGCUCUAUCAGCAGGGAAGAAAAAAAUGACGGUACCUGACUAAGAAGCCCCGACUAACUACGUG
This 495-nucleotide ribosomal RNA is filed under the name uncultured Lachnospiraceae bacterium. RNAcentral's name for it is "bacterial SSU rRNA". It matches the Rfam family "Bacterial small subunit ribosomal RNA", at positions 31 to 507 of the family's 1533-position model. Lineage: Bacteria; Bacillati; Bacillota; Clostridia; Lachnospirales; Lachnospiraceae. The record is from RNAcentral.